This 493-nucleotide ribosomal RNA is filed under the name uncultured bacterium. RNAcentral's name for it is "bacterial SSU rRNA". It matches the Rfam family "Bacterial small subunit ribosomal RNA", at positions 341 to 848 of the family's 1533-position model. The record is from RNAcentral.
ACGGGAGGCAGCAGUGGGGGAUAUUGCACAAUGGGGGAAACCCUGAUGCAGCGACGCCGCGUGGAGGAAGAAGGUUUUCGGAUUGUAAACUCCUGUCGUUAGGGACGAUAAUGACGGUACCUAACAAGAAAGCACCGGCUAACUACGUGCCAGCAGCCGCGGUAAAACGUAGGGUGCAAGCGUUGUCCGGAAUUACUGGGUGUAAAGGGAGCGCAGGCGGACCGGCAAGUUGGAAGUGAAAACUAUGGGCUCAACCCAUAAAUUGCUUUCAAAACUGCUGGCCUUGAGUAGUGCAGAGGUAGGUGGAAUUCCCGGUGUAGCGGUGGAAUGCGUAGAUAUCGGGAGGAACACCAGUGGCGAAGGCGACCCACUGGGCCCCAACUGACGCUGAGGCUCGAAAGCAUGGGUAGCAAACAGGAUUAGAUACCCUGGUAGUCCAUGCCGUAAACGAUGAUUCACUCGGUGUUGGCGGCAUUGCACCCUUCCGAUGUCC